CGGAACACUUUUAAUGGCUAUCAAGCCCCUUUUAAAAUAUGCAUUUUUUAAAUAAAACUUUAAGCAUUCAAUUGCGUAUGUGCCAAAACUCAAUGUAUUCAAUUCAAUGUAUUACUUUCAUUGAAAGCUUAAUUGCAACAGGGAAUGAGUAACAACCUCUUCAUUGCAAUCUUUAGCUCAGAACACAAUGGCAAAGCAAAAAGGCAAAAAAAAAAGAUGCGGAUGCCCCAUGCCUGGAGGCUUUCAAGGCAAGCCUGGAUCAGGCUCUGAGCAACCUGAUGGGAGCUGCAGGCGUCCCUGCUCAUUGCAGGGGAGUCGCACUAGAUGGCCUUUCAAGGUCCCCUCCAACUGUAAGGAUUCUAUGAUUCCAAGUCCAGAUUCAGGCAACUGAUCUGAAGAAAAAUACUUGCUUUUGUUUAAGAGAUGAUAAAGAUCUGUCUUGAGGAGGCCAGGGGUGGGGUGCAGUACCUUGGGGCAGGCUGGGACUUUGUGCUUGAAGUACGGCAGUGGACUGGAGCUAUCCAUCAUCACUUUCAGCUUGCUGAUGCCCAAAUUCUCACUGUGGCUGCGUUGCUCUGGGGCAUUCUUGAUGACAGAGGAGCCUGCUUCAUCAUGCAGCAGUAUUCCCACCUGAAAUUCCCUUGCAAGUCUCUGCAGAGCUGCCCUCCCAUUAAAGGCAGUUGAAUCCAAACAUGAAACACACGUUUACUGUGACUACAAUUUACCAAUGGGACCACUGGUGUGGCACAGGGACGCUCUCCAAGGUAUAGCUGACGUGUUUAAAGCAGUGGCUGAAAGGGAUUCAAGGGCAGCAGGGACACGCAUCAUCCUCUGUGGUUAUGUAAACUGUGAAGAAGAUUGUUCUGUCUGUAGAUGGGAAAAACAGGCAUGGCAGAUGUAGAAACUGACCUGGAGCCUCACCUGAAAAGAACACAAACGUUUGGGGAGCACAGAGAAAAGAAUCAUCCAUGGACCGGGAGAUGUCUCGGGGGGAGACAGAAAGAGUUCAAGCUCCUAAAAAAGAAACCUAAAGGUUAUCAUUUACUGCAUACACAGAGCUGGGAAAAUGUGCUGAAGGUUAAAGGCCCCUUUGGUCUAUGUGGGGAGGUUGCGUAAGAUUGAAGAGCUGGGAAUAAAAUCAAAGAUGUCCUAGUUUAGAAACUAGGUAUGACAUUAACUCUUGGCUGAAAAGGACUCAUUCCCAACACUGGUCAGGAGCACCUCCUGGUGUGGUGGUUUAACACUGGUAGGUGGCUCAGCACCACCACACUGCUCUCUCACGUCCCAUUCAUUGGGGUUGGAUGAGGUGACCUCUAAAGGUCCCUUCCAGCUCAAAACGAUUCUAUGAUUCUGUGAUUUAGGAAACCUUUGAGGGUAGCUCAGAUGGAUUUUUGGAACUGAUACAACAUGCAUAAAGAGACACUGCACUGAUUAAUAAGCAGAG
Long non-coding RNA from Gallus gallus (chicken), 1444 nucleotides. The record is from Ensembl. Lineage: Eukaryota; Metazoa; Chordata; Aves; Galliformes; Phasianidae.